Pseudophryne corroboree (corroboree frog) is the source of this 818-nucleotide long non-coding RNA. RefSeq lists it as uncharacterized. NCBI's taxonomy places the organism in Eukaryota, Metazoa, Chordata, Amphibia, Anura, Myobatrachidae. The transcript has 3 exons. The record is from RefSeq and is a predicted model, not a curated record.
UUGCCUACCCUCCCGCAUUCAGCGGGAGGCUCCCGUUUUUUACUUGAGCCUCCCGCUGCCCCGCAAACCUUGCUUUGACUCCCGGUUUUUACAGGUCCCUCUGUGAAGAUCUGGACUGCGCAUGCGCGAGUCCAGAAAUGCCGGAGACCGGGACCUGCAUGUGAGACGCGACGUCCCUUCCAAUAGCUGUGCGACGUGCGUCCUGCAGAGGCAGCGUAUGCAGUGGCUCUUCACUUGAACCGUCAUCAGGGCGGGACAGGAGCUUCAGACUGGAUCGUUUACCAAUGCAGGGAGGCGCUCUCUCUUCUCUGCAACUAUCAGCUGUUGCAGAACAGCAGUGUGAAGGCCCUUCAGUGCCUAUUUCCCUGGUGGCCAGGUCUCCUUUUCCCCUCAGAGAUGACAAUUUUUUUUUGGCCUGGUUCAGCAGCAAGCCGAGGCCACGCCCCCUUCCACAGGCUCCGCCCCCUCGCACGACCCGCGAUUUCCUCCCCUCCACCGUCAAUUUUGAGGAUUCGGCACAGAGCUCCUGCAGUUACCAUGGUGAUAACCCGAUGACGCCGGGCCGGACGGACUGGGUGGACGCACACUGAUGACGUCACAGAGCGUGAUGGAGCAGCGUUCACGCUGUACACUCACACGGAGGCCGGCAUCUGAUACUGCGGCGCCCAGCUGGAACCGGUCAGGAGGUCUAAUGAGGAAAUGUUAUUAGUAAAGAACAACGGGCUUCAAUUUUUUGUUUGUUUUUGGGGAGUGGCACAAUCAGCAUCAUAUCAACUCCGAGUAAUCCCAUUGUGAAAAAAGAAAUAAACAUUUUUAAA